UCCGGGAAACCGGGGCUAAUACCGGAUAACAUUUUGAACUGCAUGGUUCGAAAUUGAAAGGCGGCUUCGGCUGUCACUUAUGGAUGGACCCGCGUCGCAUUAGCUAGUUGGUGAGGUAACGGCUCACCAAGGCAACGAUGCGUAGCCGACCUGAGAGGGUGAUCGGCCACACUGGGACUGAGACACGGCCCAGACUCCUACGGGAGGCAGCAGUAGGGAAUCUUCCGCAAUGGACGAAAGUCUGACGGAGCAACGCCGCGUGAGUGAUGAAGGCUUUCGGGUCGUAAAACUCUGUUGUUAGGGAAGAACAAGUGCUAGUUGAAUAAGCUGGCACCUUGACGGUACCUAACCAGAAAGCCACGGCUAACUACGUGCCAGCAGCCGCGGUAAUACGUAGGUGGCAAGCGUUAUCCGGAAUUAUUGGGCGUAAAGCGCGCGCAGGUGGUUUCUUAAGUCUGAUGUGAAAGCCCACGGCUCAACCGUGGAGGGUCAUUGGAAACUGGGAGACUUGAGUGCAGAAGAGGAAAGUGGAAUUCCAUGUGUAGCGGUGAAAUGCGUAGAGAUAUGGAGGAACACCAGUGGCGAAGGCGACUUUCUGGUCUGUAACUGACACUG
This 615-nucleotide ribosomal RNA is filed under the name uncultured bacterium. RNAcentral describes it as "bacterial SSU rRNA". It matches the Rfam family "Bacterial small subunit ribosomal RNA", at positions 148 to 748 of the family's 1533-position model. The record is from RNAcentral.